CCUACGGGAGGCAGCAGUGGGGAAUAUUGCACAAUGGGGGAAACCCUGAUGCAGCGACGCCGCGUGAGUGAAGAAGUAAUUCGUUAUGUAAAGCUCUAUCAGCAGGGAAGAAAAUGACGGUACCUGAGUAAGAAGCUCCGGCUAACUACGUGCCAGCAGCCGCGGUAAUACGUAGGGGGCCAGCGUUAUCCGGAUUUACUGGGCGUAAAGGGAGCGUAGACGGCAGUGCAAGUCUGGAGUGAAAGGCGGGGGCUCAACCCUCGGACUGCUCUGGAAACUGUACGGCUGGAGUGCAGGAGAGGUAAGUGGAAUUCCUAGUGUAGCGGUGAAAUGCGUAGAUAUUAGGAAGAACACCAGUGGCGAAGGCGGCUUACUAGACUGUAACUGACGUUGAGGCUCGAAAGCGUGGGGAGCAAACAGGAUUAGAUACCCUGGUAGUC
This 440-nucleotide ribosomal RNA is filed under the name uncultured bacterium. RNAcentral's name for it is "partial 16S ribosomal RNA". It matches the Rfam family "Bacterial small subunit ribosomal RNA", at positions 338 to 795 of the family's 1533-position model. The record is from RNAcentral.